RNA transcript from Pyrus x bretschneideri (Chinese white pear), 1948 nucleotides. It is a transcript of the gene named B3 domain-containing transcription factor VRN1-like, with no coding region annotated. The transcript has 5 exons. The record is from RefSeq and is a predicted model, not a curated record. Lineage: Eukaryota; Viridiplantae; Streptophyta; Magnoliopsida; Rosales; Rosaceae.
AGUGAAUAGAGCUUUCCUUCUACAAACCGGUAGUGCUGUUUUGAAAGACCUUUGAUUCAACGUCUAUGGCUUCCGCUCCCCCGGAAAAUAUUAACCGGCCAAUAUUUUCUCCGACGACUCCCCAUUUUUUCAAAAUCAUUCUAGAGGACACUUCCAAAGACAGAAAAUUUGGAAUUCCAAAGAAAUUUGUGAUGAAAUAUGGUGAAGGAAUAUCAAAUCCAGUAUGUCUUAAGCUUCCAAGUGGUUCAGAAUGGAUAGUAGAACUUAGAAGAUGGGAUGGUGAGGUUUGGUUUGACAAUGGUUGGCCAGAGUUUUCCAAAUUUUACUCUCUAGAUUGCGGUCACUGGCUGGUUUUUCGAUAUGAGGGGAAUUCCAAAUUCAAUGUGUGUAUAUUUGAUAAAAGUUGCACGGAGAUUGAAUAUCCAUUAACAAUGCCAAAGAUGGAACUAACUUCUCAUGAUGAAUCUCGUGACAAUUCUGCAAAUGAUUCUAGUGAUGAUUAUGGUGACGAUUUGAGUUACAAGUCCGGUGAUGGUUCUGGUGAUAAUUCUGCUAUGAUCUUAGAUAAAUUUUUACCUUGCCCAAGAAAAACAAGGGAGAAAUCUACAUUGCCAAGUCCUCAGCCUCACAAGAAAAGGAUAACAAGUUGGAGUGGAAAAUGUGAUUUUCCAACCGAAAAAUAUGGAGUCACGUCGUCUAGCACUCCAAGUGGAGAGGUUGUAGCUCUUCGGAGAGCUAUUGCUUUCAAAUCACAAAACCCUUCUUUCAUUGUUGUCAUGAGGCUCAGUUAUAUCAACUCUGGGCUCUUGUGGUUGCCAUCUGAGUUUUGCAAGCUACGUCCUAUUAAGAAAUCCUGUGAGGUCAUUCUUCAAGUUUCGGAUGGGAGAACUUGGACUGUUGAUUUGAGAUAUGAAGAAGGAAAGGCCACAUUCAGGCGUGGUUGGAUGGACAUUGUUUGUGACAAUAAUUUGGAACUUGGUGAUGUGUGUGUUUUUGUGUCAACUAGCAACGUAAAACCCUUAUUUGAUGUUUUCAUUUUCCGCUCUAAAGAAGCGGCCAGUUGUAGCAUUGAUGAGGGAAAAACAGUGCCUAAGAUGGAAGAAUCUGAUCAAGCAGAUGGUGAUUCUGUUCAAAUCUUAGAUGAGGAUUCUACUGAUGACUCUAGUGAUGAGUUUAGUGAGGAUUCUGAUAACAAUUCUAGUAAUGGAUCCAGUGAUGAUUCUUGUGAUGAUUCUUAUGAUAAUUCUGUUGUAAUAUUUGACAAAUUUCCAUCCCACCAAGGAAAAACAAGUAAGAAAUCUUCAUUACCAUGUCCUCAGCCUCAGAAGAAAAGUAGAACAGCUACAAGCGGUAAAGCAGUCUAAAAUCUAAGAUAGAAGUGAAAACGAAAGAACAUAUAUAUGUUUCUACAUAACCAUAUUAUGUUCUUUUAUUCUCUUCUUGUUUGUAAUAUUUUACUUUUUUUACAGGGAAAUAUGAUGUUCCAACUGAAAGUGGAGGCAGUAUAGCCCUUCAGAGAGCUACUGCUUUCAAAUCUCAAAACCCUACUUCUUUUGUUGUUGCCAUGAGUCCUAGUUACAUCAGCUCUUAUUUCUUAUUUUUGCCGUCUGAUUUUCACAAGGUACAUCAUAUCAAAAAGUCCUGUGAAGUCAUCCUUCGAGUUUCAAAUGUGGGAACUUGGCCUGUUGAUUUGAAUUAUUUUUCAGAAGAAAAGAAGGCCAAAUUCGGGCGUGGUUGGAUGGAAGUUGUGCGUGACAAUAAUUUGGAAAGUGGUGAUGUGUGUGUCUUUGUGUCGAUCAACAACAGCGCUAAACCUUUGUUUGAUGUUGUCUUUUUCCGCUCUGGACAAGCUGCAAAGCGUACCGAUAUUGACAGGGAGAAAACAGUGCCAGCUGAGAUGAAAGAAAAUGUUGAUGCAGCUGGUGAUUCUGUUCAAAUCUUGUAGCCU